UAUGUUCUAUUAAACCUAAAGAAUUUGGCGGUGUUUUAGUCUUUUCAGAGGAAUUUGUCCCAUUAUCGAUAAUCCUCGUUUUAUCUUUCUUGGUCUUGUUUAAUCAGUAUGUAUAUCGCCGUUAUAAGUUUAUUUUUUAAGAGUUAUUAAUUUACUGAUUAUUUUAUUUUAUGUUAUUUCAGGUCAAGGUGCAGUUUAUGAUUAAGUGGAGAUGAAUUACAAUAUUAUUUGAGUAAAUGGAUUUGUUUAAUUAAAUUUUACAGUGAAGGUGGAUUUGAUAGUAAUUUUGAUUAUAAUGUUAUUUUGAUUUUGGCUCUAAAAUAAGUACACAUCGCCCGUCGCU
Molecule: ribosomal RNA, 343 nt
Filed under: Haaniella saussurei
Lineage: Eukaryota; Metazoa; Arthropoda; Insecta; Phasmatodea; Heteropterygidae
Description: partial 12S ribosomal RNA
Source: RNAcentral